This 497-nucleotide ribosomal RNA is filed under the name uncultured bacterium. Its description in RNAcentral is "partial 16S ribosomal RNA". It matches the Rfam family "Bacterial small subunit ribosomal RNA", at positions 28 to 507 of the family's 1533-position model. The record is from RNAcentral.
GAUGAACGCUGGCGGCGUGCCUAAUACAUGCAAGUCGAGCGAACAGACGAGGAGCUUGCUCCUCUGACGUUAGCGGCGGACGGGUGAGUAACACGUGGAUAACCUACCUAUAAGACUGGGAUAACUUCGGGAAACCGGAGCUAAUACUGGAUAAUAUAUUGAACCGCAUGGUUCAAUAGUGAAAGACGGUUUUGCUGUCACUUAUAGAUGGAUCCGCGCCGCAUUAGCUAGUUGGUAAGGUAACGGCUUACCAAGGCAACGAUGCGUAGCCGACCUGAGAGGGUGAUCGGCCACACUGGAACUGAGACACGGUCCAGACACCUACGGGAGGCAGCAGUAGGGAAUCUUCCGCAAUGGGCGAAAGCCUGACGGAGCAACGCCGCGUGAGUGAUGAAGGUCUUCGGAUCGUAAAACUCUGUUAUUAGGGAAGAACAAAUGUGUAAGUAACUAUGCACGUCUUGACGGUACCUAAUCAGAAAGCCACGGCUAACUACGUG